This 253-nucleotide ribosomal RNA is filed under the name uncultured bacterium. RNAcentral's name for it is "partial 16S ribosomal RNA". It matches the Rfam family "Bacterial small subunit ribosomal RNA", at positions 524 to 776 of the family's 1533-position model. The record is from RNAcentral.
UACGGGGGGGGUAAGCGUUGUUCGGAAUUACUGGGCGUAAAGGGCGCGUAGGCGGGAUGGCAAGUCGGUCGUGAAAUCCUUCGGCUCAACCGAAGAACGUCGAUCGAUACUGCUGUUCUUGAGGGUUGCAGAGGAGACUGGAAUUCCCGGUGUAGCGGUGAAAUUCGUAGAUAUCGGGAGGAACACCGGUGGCGAAGGCGGCGGCCUGGGUUGACACUGACGCUGAGGCGCGAAAGCGUGGGGAGCAAACAGG